RNAcentral lists this ribosomal RNA (654 nucleotides) under Staphylococcus pseudintermedius. RNAcentral's name for it is "partial 23S ribosomal RNA". It matches the Rfam family "Bacterial large subunit ribosomal RNA", at positions 1239 to 1891 of the family's 2925-position model. The record is from RNAcentral. Lineage: Bacteria; Bacillati; Bacillota; Bacilli; Caryophanales; Staphylococcaceae.
UUCUAAGGGCGUUGAAGCAUGAUCGCAAGGACAUGUGGAGCGCUUAGAAGUGAGAAUGCCGGUGUGAGUAGCGAAAGACGGGUGAGAAUCCCGUCCACCGAUUGACUAAGGUUUCCAGAGGAAGGCUCGUCCGCUCUGGGUUAGUCGGGUCCUAAGCUGAGGCCGACAGGCGUAGGCGAUGGAUAACAGGUUGAUAUUCCUGUACCACCAUUAUUCGUUUUAAGCGAUGGGGGGACGCAGUAGGAUAGGCGAAGCGUGCUGUUGGAGUGCACGUCCAAGCAGUGAGAUUGAGUGUUAGGCAAAUCCGGCACUCUUAAGAUUGAGCUGUGAUGGGGAGAGGAACUUGUUCCUCGAGUCGUUGAUUUCACACUGCCGAGAAAAGCCUCUAGCUAGAAUAACGGUGCCCGUACCGCAAACCGACACAGGUAGUCAAGAUGAGAAUUCUAAGGUGAGCGAGCGAACUCUCGUUAAGGAACUCGGCAAAAUGACCCCGUAACUUCGGGAGAAGGGGUGCUCUUUGAGGUUCACGCUUCGAAGAGCCGCAGUGAAUAGGCCCAAGCGACUGUUUAUCAAAAACACAGGUCUCUGCUAAACCGUAAGGUGACGUAUAGGGGCUGACGCCUGCCCGGUGCUGGAAGGUUAAGAGGAGUGGUU